GACGAACGCUGGCGGCGUGCUUAACACAUGCAAGUCGAACGGAAAGGCCCUGCUUGCAGGGUACUCGAGUGGCGAACGGGUGAGUAACACGUGGGUGAUCUGCCCUGCACUUCGGGAUAAGCUUGGGAAACUGGGUCUAAUACCGGAUAGGAACCAUCUUUAGUGUGGUGGUUGGAAAGUUUUUUCGGUGUAGGAUGAGCUCGCGGCCUAUCAGCUUGUUGGUGGGGUAAUGGCCUACCAAGGCGGCGACGGGUAGCCGGCCUGAGAGGGUGUACGGCCACAUUGGGACUGAGAUACGGCCCAGACUCCUACGGGAGGCAGCAGUGGGGAAUAUUGCACAAUGGGCGCAAGCCUGAUGCAGCGACGCCGCGUGGGGGAUGAAGGCCUUCGGGUUGUAAACUCCUUUCGCUAGGGACGAAGCUUUGUUGUGACGGUACCUAGAGAAGAAGCACCGGCUAACCACGUG
RNAcentral lists this ribosomal RNA (466 nucleotides) under uncultured bacterium. Its description in RNAcentral is "partial 16S ribosomal RNA". It matches the Rfam family "Bacterial small subunit ribosomal RNA", at positions 28 to 507 of the family's 1533-position model. The record is from RNAcentral.